Molecule: ribosomal RNA, 284 nt
Filed under: uncultured bacterium
Lineage: Bacteria
Description: partial 16S ribosomal RNA
Rfam family: Bacterial small subunit ribosomal RNA
Source: RNAcentral
GAUGAACGCUGGCGGCGUGCCUAAUACAUGCAAGUCGAGCGGUAAGGCCCUUCGGGGUACACGAGCGGCGGACGGCUGAGUAACACGUAGGAACGUACCCCAAACUGAGGGAUAAGCACCAGAAAUGGUGUCUAAUACCGCAUGUGCUCUAAGGAGUAAAGCUUCGGCGGUUUGGGAACGGCCUGCGCAUGAUUAGUUUGUUGGUGGGUAAAAGCCUACCAAGACUACGAUCAUUAGUUGGUCUGAGAGGAUGACCAGCCAGACUGGAACUGAGAACGGUCCAG